Molecule: long non-coding RNA, 119 nt
Organism: Hippocampus comes (tiger tail seahorse)
Lineage: Eukaryota; Metazoa; Chordata; Actinopteri; Syngnathiformes; Syngnathidae
Exons: 3
Source: RefSeq, a predicted model, not a curated record
UCUUGUUCUAAUUUUGCCAGGGCUUUCUCUGGAAGACAUGAGCGUGAUGCUUUUGACACCCUGUUUGACCAUGCACCGGAUAAACUGAAUGUUGUCAAAAAGACACUGAUCACAUUUGU